Molecule: ribosomal RNA, 465 nt
Filed under: uncultured bacterium
Lineage: Bacteria
Description: partial 16S ribosomal RNA
Rfam family: Bacterial small subunit ribosomal RNA
Source: RNAcentral
CCUACGGGAGUCAGCAGUGGGGAAUAUUGCGCAAUGGGCGAAAGCCUGACGCAGCGACGCCGCGUGAGGGAUGAAGGUCUUCGGAUCGUAAACCUCUGUCAGCAGGGAAGAACGGUCACUGUGCUAAUCAGCAGUGAAUUGACGGUACCUGCAAAGGAAGCACCGGCUAACUCCGUGCCAGCAGCCGCGGUAAUACGGAGGGUGCGAGCGUUAAUCGGAAUUACUGGGCGUAAAGCGCUCGUAGGCGGUAUGUUAAGUCAAGGGUGAAAUCCCCGCGCUCAACGUGGGAACUGCCUUUGAAACUGGCAGACUGGAGUGUGUGAGAGGAUAGUGGAAUUCCAGGUGUAGGAGUGAAAUCCGUAGAUAUCUGGAGGAACAUCAGUGGCGAAGGCGACUAUCUGGCACAUAACUGACGCUGAGGAGCGAAAGCGUGGGUAGCAAACAGGAUUAGAUACCCCAGUAGUC